CAGUAGCCGCGGUAAUACGUAGGUGGCAAGCGUUGUCCGGAAUUAUUGGGCGUAAAGCGUGCGCAGGCGGUUUUGUAAGACAGGCGUGAAAUCCCCGGGCUCAACCUGGGAAUGGCGCUUGUGACUGCAAAGCUAGAGUGCGGCAAAGGGGGAUGGAAUUCCGCGUGUAGCAGUGAAAUGCGUAGAUAUGCGGAGGAACACCGAUGGCGAAGGCAAUCCCCUGGGCCUGCACUGACGCUCAUGCACGAAAGCGUGGGGAGCGUACAGGAUUAGAUACCCGAGUAGUCCCUGUCUCUUAUAU
RNAcentral lists this ribosomal RNA (301 nucleotides) under uncultured bacterium. Its description in RNAcentral is "partial 16S ribosomal RNA". It matches the Rfam family "Bacterial small subunit ribosomal RNA", at positions 509 to 809 of the family's 1533-position model. The record is from RNAcentral.